Long non-coding RNA from Equus quagga, 423 nucleotides. RefSeq lists it as uncharacterized. The record is from RefSeq and is a predicted model, not a curated record. Lineage: Eukaryota; Metazoa; Chordata; Mammalia; Perissodactyla; Equidae. The transcript is spliced from 2 exons.
AAAGAGUGGGAAGCCCUCGGGAGCCGGAAAUAGCCGAAGCGGAUCGGGACGGGGGCAAAAAGUAGGGAUCGAGAUGAUCGGGAAAGAACGGAAGGCGGCGUCAGUUAUGGACGAAACAACUCUAGCUGAGAAUAUAGACCACAUCUAGAGGACAGCACCCUGUCCUUUCAAGCUGUGGUCUCCAGCUGGCACCAUCUCUGAAGCUUCAACAGGCCGUUCCACAAUUCUAGGGGGCCGUCUGCUUUAAGUCAUGAGAAAAAUGGAAAGACCAGUGAAUCCCAUCGGGCAAGAUUUCUCCAUGCUUUUUCAGUGUUAUACUGGAACGUUAUCUACCAAACCCCUCUGGCAUUCUAGAUUUUACUCUGUCUGGCUUACCAUUUAAUUGUCAACUAGGGUCCAGACUCAAUAAAGUUAUGGAACAUU